CGAACGGGUGAGUAAUACAUCGGAACGUGUCCAGUAGCGGGGGAUAACCUCUCGAAAGAGAGGCUAAUACCGCAUACGACCUACGGGUGAAAGAGGGGGAUCGCAAGACCUCUCACUAUUGGAGCGGCCGAUGUCGGAUUAGCUAGUUGGCGGGGUAACGGCCCACCAAGGCUACGAUCCGUAGCUGGUCUGAGAGGACGACCAGCCACACUGGAACUGAGACACGGUCCAG
Molecule: ribosomal RNA, 232 nt
Filed under: uncultured bacterium
Lineage: Bacteria
Description: partial 16S ribosomal RNA
Rfam family: Bacterial small subunit ribosomal RNA
Source: RNAcentral